RNAcentral lists this ribosomal RNA (253 nucleotides) under uncultured bacterium. RNAcentral describes it as "partial 16S ribosomal RNA". It matches the Rfam family "Bacterial small subunit ribosomal RNA", at positions 524 to 776 of the family's 1533-position model. The record is from RNAcentral.
UACGUAGGGUGCAAGCGUUAAUCGGAAUUACUGGGCGUAAAGCGUGCGCAGGCGGUUCUAUAAGACAGAUGUGAAAUCCCCGGGCUCAACCUGGGAACUGCAUUUGUGACUGUAGAGCUGGAGUGCGGCAGAGGGGGAUGGAAUUCCGCGUGUAGCAGUGAAAUGCGUAGAUAUCGGAAGGAACACCAGUGGCGAAGGCGGCUAUCUGGACUGACACUGACGCUGAGGCGCGAAAGCGUGGGGAUCAAACAGG